UUCCCGAAGUUUGACAGCCGAGUGCCCGUUCCGCGUUCCACUUCCACGUCACGAACCGUCAAUUGAGAAAGCAGUCGCGUCGUCGUUUGCUCUUCACAAUUAAAUUGCUCGCGAAAGAAAUAACUAAUAUCCAAUAUGUUCAAACAAAUCCUCGCUCUGUGCGCGCUGUUUGCGGUGUUUAGCGUUUGCUUGUCCGAGGACGAGACACGUGCCCGCCUUCUGGUGUCAAAGCAGAUUCUGAAC
Molecule: long non-coding RNA, 243 nt
Organism: Drosophila miranda
Lineage: Eukaryota; Metazoa; Arthropoda; Insecta; Diptera; Drosophilidae
Exons: 2
Source: RefSeq, a predicted model, not a curated record